AGCCUCUACCACUUCUGCUGGGAGGCUUAUCUAUAGGCUACAUUCUUAUCUUGGAGUGGCUAAUACGUAUUUGUUUUUUUAGAAAUUAAAUUUUUUAUCAGGUACGAUAUACUGGGGUGGGCUGCCAUUUUCCCUGCAUUGAUAUUACCCGUAUUUUUGGCUUUGUAUGAAUAAUUAAGUGUAACCAGGAGUAUUAUUGUGUUUUUUAAACUGAAAUAUAACUUUUUCAUAAGAAAAUGAAUUCUAUGGUUGGUAUGGUGACAAGACCAUUUUUAAGUGGCCAUUUUGAAUAAUUAACCCAAAUUGUGGUCUGGGGAUUAAAUGUCCUGCCGAUACAAUGUUUAUGCUGGUAACAUAUCUGAGUAAGUUCCCCUUCUCUUGUAUUGUUUCUAUAUGUUUAAAUUGUCUACAAUGCUCUGUUUACUCAACAACUGCAUACUCUUAAUAUCCACUCUAAGGGUUAAAUAAAUUAAUAUAUUUGAUAUCUGGA
This is a long non-coding RNA of Spea bombifrons (plains spadefoot toad), 490 nucleotides long. RefSeq lists it as uncharacterized. The transcript has 2 exons. Lineage: Eukaryota; Metazoa; Chordata; Amphibia; Anura; Pelobatidae. The record is from RefSeq and is a predicted model, not a curated record.